GGGUCGGUAGCUCAGGUGGUUAGAGCGCACGCCUGAUAAGCGUGAGGUCGAAGGUUCAACUCCUUCUCGACCCACCA
Molecule: transfer RNA, 77 nt
Filed under: Amaricoccus macauensis
Lineage: Bacteria; Pseudomonadati; Pseudomonadota; Alphaproteobacteria; Rhodobacterales; Paracoccaceae
Also listed under: 3 other names
Description: tRNA-Ile
Rfam family: tRNA
About the family: Transfer RNA (tRNA) molecules are approximately 80 nucleotides in length.
Source: RNAcentral